GGGGUUGACUGGAUUUGACAGCAGGCCGGAGUGGUACGUAAGCACGCGGAGCGUUGGCCGGUGGCUCCUAAAUCCCAAUGGUCAGCAAAUUUAUCUGGCAACAACAACUAUGCUCUCGCUGCCUAAACGAAGUACAGUAGUUUACUGGCUUUAUUCCGCUACAAGGUAGUGGAACGAGACAUCGCUCAAAAGCCGUCGUCCCGAGGCUCUUUGAUAUAGCGGUGCAGCAAAAUCGGGAAUAGCCUUGCAAUGCCUCGAUUGCAGAGUGAAAUUUAGAGGAUAAGGUAAUGGUUGGUGGUUCGGGUCUUGCCAUUGCUCGAAAAUUAAGGCCGGAAUAAGCGUGUAGAAAGCGUAUGGUUUCCCUGUUUGGACGCGGGUUCGACUCCCGCCAGCUCCACU
RNAcentral lists this transfer-messenger RNA (399 nucleotides) under Prevotella koreensis. It matches the Rfam family "transfer-messenger RNA". From Rfam's summary of the family: Bacterial tmRNA, also known as 10Sa RNA or SsrA, is named for its dual tRNA and mRNA-like properties. Its role is to liberate the mRNA from a stalled ribosome. Lineage: Bacteria; Pseudomonadati; Bacteroidota; Bacteroidia; Bacteroidales; Prevotellaceae. The record is from RNAcentral.